RNAcentral lists this ribosomal RNA (880 nucleotides) under uncultured bacterium. RNAcentral's name for it is "bacterial SSU rRNA". It matches the Rfam family "Bacterial small subunit ribosomal RNA", at positions 11 to 910 of the family's 1533-position model. The record is from RNAcentral.
GUUUGAUCAUGGCUCAGGAUGAACGCUGGCGGCGUGCCUAAUACAUGCAAGUCGAACGGAGAGCUAGCAAUAGUUCUUAGUGGCGAACGGGUGAGUAACGCGUUGGUGACCUGCCCCGAAGCGGGGGAUAACAGUUCGAAAGGACUGCUAAUACCCCAUGAGAUCCGAGAGGUUAGAGGCUUUUGGAUGAAAGGAGUAAUCCGCUUUGGGAGGGGCCUGCGUCCCAUCAGCUAGUUGGUAGGGUAAAGGCCUACCAAGGCAACGACGGGUAGGGGGCCUGAGAGGGUGAUCCCCCACACUGGCACUGAAACACGGGCCAGACACCUACGGGUGGCAGCAGUAGGGAAUAUUGCACAAUGGGCGAAAGCCUGAUGCAGCAACGCCGCGUGCGCGAUGAAGGCCUUCGGGUUGUAAAGCGCUUUUCGGGGAGAUGAGGAAGGACAGUAUCCCCGGAAUAAGGCUCGGCUAACUACGUGCCAGCAGCCGCGGUAAAACGUAGGAGCCUAGCGUUAUCCGAAUUCACUGGGCGUAAAGCGCGUGCAGGCGGCUCGGCAAGUUGGAUGUGAAAUCUCCUGGCUCAACUGGGAGAGGACGUUCAAAACUGCAGGGCUAGAGGGCAGCAGAGGGAGGUGGAAUUCCCGGUGUAGUGGUGAAAUGCGUAGAUAUCGGGAGGAACACCAGAGGCGAAGGCGGCCUCCUGGGCUGCACCUGACGCUCAGACGCGAAAGCUAGGGGAGCAAACGGGAUUAGAAACCCCGGUAGUCCUAGCCGUAAACGAUGCAGACUUGGUGCAGGUGGGGUAAAAGCCAUCUGUGCCGAAGCCAACGCGAUAAGUCUACCGCCUGGGGACUACGGCCGCAAGAGUGAAACUCAAAGGAAU